Molecule: ribosomal RNA, 253 nt
Filed under: uncultured bacterium
Lineage: Bacteria
Description: partial 16S ribosomal RNA
Rfam family: Bacterial small subunit ribosomal RNA
Source: RNAcentral
UACGUAGGGGGCAAGCGUUGUCCGGAAUCAUUGGGCGUAAAGAGCGUGUAGGCGGCUCGGUAAGUCCGCUGUAAAAGUCAAAGGCUCAACCUUUGAAUGUCAGUGGAUACUGCCGGGCUAGGGUCCGGAAGAGGCGAGUGGAACUCCUGGUGUAGCGGUGGAAUGCGCAGAUAUCAGGAAGAACACCAACGGCGAAGGCAGCUCGCUGGGACGGUACUGACGCUGAGGCGCGAAAGCCAGGGGAGCGAACGGG